GAUGAACGCUAGCUACAGGCUUAACACAUGCAAGUCGAGGGGUAACAAGAGGUAAGCUUGCUUUUCUUGUUGACGACCGGCGCACGGGUGAGUAACGCGUAUCCAACCUGCCUAUAACUAGGGAAUAACCUUGCGAAAGUAAGACUAAUACCCUAUGAUUUCCUUUGAUGACAUCAGAUUAGGAAUAAAGAUUUAUCGGUUAUAGAUGGGGAUGCGUCUGAUUAGCUUGUUGGCGGGGUAACGGCCCACCAAGGCAACGAUCAGUAGGGGUUCUGAGAGGAAGGUCCCCCACAUUGGAACUGAGACACGGUCCAAACUCCUACGGGAGGCAGCAGUGAGGAAUAUUGGUCAAUGGGCGGAAGCCUGAACCAGCCAAGUAGCGUGCAGGAUGACGGCCCUAUGGGUUGUAAACUGCUUUUAUACAGGAAUAAAGUUGGCCACGUGUGGUUAUUUGUAGGUACUGUAUGAAUAAGGACCGGCUAAUUCCGUGCCAGCCGCCGCCGUAA
Molecule: ribosomal RNA, 506 nt
Filed under: uncultured bacterium
Lineage: Bacteria
Description: partial 16S ribosomal RNA
Rfam family: Bacterial small subunit ribosomal RNA
Source: RNAcentral